CGGAGGGUGCAAGCGUUAUCCGGAUUCACUGGGUUUAAAGGGUGUGUAGGCGGGCUAUUAAGUCAGUGGUGAAAUCUCCGGGCUCAACCCGGAAACUGCCAUUGAUACUAUUAGUCUUGAAUAUUGUUGAGGUAGGCGGAAUAUAUCAUGUAGCGGUGAAAUGCAUAGAUAUGAUAUAGAACACCGAUUGCGAAGGCAGCUUACUAAACAAUUAUUGACGCUGAGGCACGAAAGCGUGGGGAUCAAACAGGAUUAGAUACCCUGGUAGCCCACGCCCUAAACGAUGAUUACUCGACAUACGCGAUACACAGUGUGUGUCUGAGCGAAAGCAUUAAGUAACCCACCUGGGAAGUACGUCCGCAAGGAUG
This 368-nucleotide ribosomal RNA is filed under the name uncultured organism. Its description in RNAcentral is "bacterial SSU rRNA". It matches the Rfam family "Bacterial small subunit ribosomal RNA", at positions 526 to 896 of the family's 1533-position model. The record is from RNAcentral.